RNAcentral lists this ribosomal RNA (374 nucleotides) under uncultured bacterium. RNAcentral describes it as "bacterial SSU rRNA". It matches the Rfam family "Bacterial small subunit ribosomal RNA", at positions 521 to 896 of the family's 1533-position model. The record is from RNAcentral.
UAAUACGGAGGAUCCAAGCGUUAUCCGGAUUUAUUGGGUUUAAAGGGUGCGUAGGUGGGAGAAUAAGUCAGAGGUGAAAGCUAGCAGCUUAACUGUUAAAUUGCCUUUGAUACUGCUUUCCUUGAGUCUAGUUGGCGUUGGCGGAAUGUGACAUGUAGCGGUGAAAUGCGUAGAUAUGUCACAGAACACCGAUCGCGAAGGCAGCUAACGAAGCUAGUACUGACACUGAUGCACGAAAGCGUGGGGAGCAAACAGGAUUAGAUACCCUGGUAGUCCACGCCGUAAACGAUGAUAACUCGACGUUGGCAAUAUACCGUUCAGCGUCCAAGCGAAAGCGUUAAGUUAUCCACCUGGGGAGUACGAUCGCAAGGUUG